Alosa alosa (allis shad) is the source of this 77-nucleotide non-coding RNA. The record is from the annotation of a RefSeq genome assembly. Lineage: Eukaryota; Metazoa; Chordata; Actinopteri; Clupeiformes; Clupeidae.
GUUUCCAUAGUGUAGUGGUUAUCACGUUAAGCCUAACACGCUGAAAAAGGUCCCCAGUUCGAAACUGGGUGGAAACA